CCCUCAAAAAAUUGCCAAUAUAAAACUGUCUUCCUAUCCCGGACUGCAAAAUGGCCUUUGAACGCAUGUUCUACUCAACUGGAUCCUCUCGUGGCUUCCGCUUCCAUGAAUUACCUUCUGAUACUAGUGAUCAAGUGACUCGAACAAAGCAUCUAGCUGUUUGGAGAUUGCCUGGUGAUGGGUUUGUGAUUGGGAGGUUUCCAGGAAAAUAGAUGGGGAGAUAAGAUCCUAUUCCAUGCUCACUUUUCCCACGACUCCAUUGUUUUGCUGCAAUAGUGGUGUACAGGAUGACAAGUUUUGCUUCGAAUCAGGUCCAAAUUCUAGUUUAGAGUCAUUUUUUAUGUUAUACGCUCUAUGACAAUUCUAGUUUAGGAAUUUGUGGUUUGAAAGGAAAAUGGGUUUUCAAUUUUUAGGGAUUUUUAACGAAGUGAGUUUUGAGGAUUUUGGUAUUUGGCUUUGAUUAGGGAAUCGUUGACAUCUCCUUCUAUAGCUAUAGGUUGGUUUGUUCUUCGUGGGCAUUAUUUCCUGUGAAGUUCAUGAAUUCUGAUGGAUUUGGGUGCCAGUGGAGAAGAAGGCCACAACUGGUUACUCUUAUUUGGUAACUUUUCAAUCAAUUUUUGCGAAACUUGAGGUUCAAAUCAUGAUCCACUCUAAAUUUUGAAAUCAUCCUAUAACUUUGGCAAGAUUUCGCUAUUCAGUGGUGAUAGCCGGAGGUGGAGGUGGAGGUGGC
This 730-nucleotide long non-coding RNA is filed under the name Coffea arabica (coffee). RNAcentral describes it as "long non-coding RNA (CARA_LNC000228)". Lineage: Eukaryota; Viridiplantae; Streptophyta; Magnoliopsida; Gentianales; Rubiaceae. The record is from RNAcentral.